This 240-nucleotide unclassified non-coding RNA is filed under the name plant metagenome. Its description in RNAcentral is "partial contains small subunit ribosomal RNA, internal transcribed spacer 1, and 5.8S ribosomal RNA". The stretch from base 192 to 240 matches the Rfam family "5.8S ribosomal RNA", at positions 1 to 49 of the family's 154-position model. The record is from RNAcentral.
UCUCCGUAGGUGAACCUGCGGAAGGAUCAUUACAGAGUUCAUGCCCUCACGGGUAGAUCUCCCACCCUUGAAUAUUUAUACCUUAGUUGCUUUGGCAGGCCGUGGAAACACCAUGGGCUCCGGCUUAUGCGUGCCUGCCAGAGGAAACAAACUCUGUUUUUAGUGAUGUCUGAGUACUAUAUAUUAGUUAAAACUUUCAACAACGGAUCUCUUGGUUCCGGCAUUGAUGAAGAACGCAGC